RNAcentral lists this ribosomal RNA (500 nucleotides) under uncultured bacterium. Its description in RNAcentral is "partial 16S ribosomal RNA". It matches the Rfam family "Bacterial small subunit ribosomal RNA", at positions 30 to 523 of the family's 1533-position model. The record is from RNAcentral.
AUUGAACGCUGGCGGAAUGCUUUACACAUGCAAGUCGAACGGCAGCACGGACUCCGGUCUGGUGGCGAGUGGCGAACGGGUGAGUAAUACAUCGGAACGUGCCCAAUCGUGGGGGAUAACGUAGCGAAAGCUACGCUAAUACCGCAUACGAUCUAAGGAUGAAAGCGGGGGAUCGCAAGACCUCGCGCGAUUGGAGCGGCCGAUGGCAGAUUAGGUAGGUGGUAGGGUAAAGGCCUACCAAGCCGACGAUCUGUAGCUGGUCUGAGAGGAUGAUCAGCCAAACUGGGACUGAGACACGGCCCAGACUCCUACGGGAGGCAGCAGUGGGGAAUUUUGGACAAUGGACGCAAGUCUGAUCCAGCCAUUCCGCGUGCAGGAUGAAGGCCCUCGGGUUGUAAACUGCUUUUGUACAGAACGAAAAGGCUCUGGUUAAUACCUAGGGCUCAUGACGGUACUGUAAGAAUAAGCACCGGCUAACUACGUGCCAGCCGCCGCCGUAA